RNAcentral lists this ribosomal RNA (491 nucleotides) under uncultured bacterium. Its description in RNAcentral is "bacterial SSU rRNA". It matches the Rfam family "Bacterial small subunit ribosomal RNA", at positions 15 to 518 of the family's 1533-position model. The record is from RNAcentral.
GAUUAUGGCUCAGGAUGAACGCUGGCGGCGUGCCUAACACAUGCAAGUCGAACGGAGUUACGAGAGCUUGCUUUUGUAACUUAGUGGCGGACGGGUGAGUAAUGUAUGAGCAACCUGCCUUUCAGAGGGGGACAACAGUUGGAAACGACUGCUAAUACCGCAUAAUGUGCGGGGAGGGCAUCCUCCCUGUACCAAAGGAGCAAUCCGCUGAAAGAUGGGCUCAUAUCUGAUUAGUUAGUUAGCAGGGUAACGGCCUACCAAGACUGCGAUCAGUAGCCGGACUGAGAGGUUGAAUGGCCACAUUGGGACUGAGAUACGGCCCAGACUCCUACGGGAGGCAGCAGUGGGGAAUAUUGCACAAUGGGGGAAACCCUGAUGCCAGCGACGCCGCGUGAAGGAAGAAGUAUCUCGGUAUGUAAACUUCUAUCAGCAGGGAAGAUGAUGACGGUACCUGACUAAGAAGCCCCGGCUAACUACGUGCCAGCCGCAGC